UAAUACAGAGGGUGCAAGCGUUGUUCGGAAUUACUGGGCGUAAAGCGCGUGUAGGCGGUCUCGCAAGUCGGAUGUGAAAGCCCUUGGCUUAACCAAGGAACUGCAUUCGAAACUACAAGACUAGAGUAUCGGAGGGGGUGGCGGAAUUCCCGGUGUAGAGGUGAAAUUCGUAGAUAUCGGGAGGAACACCUGUGGCGAAGGCGGCCACCUGGAAGAUUACUGACGCUGAGACGCGAAAGCGUGGGGAGCAAACAGGAUUAGAUACCCUGGUAGUCCACGCCGUAAACGAUGAGUGCUAGGUGUUGCGGGUAUUGACCCCUGCAGUGCCAAAGCUAACGCGUUAAGCACUCCGCCUGGGGAGUACGGUCGCAAGAUUA
RNAcentral lists this ribosomal RNA (377 nucleotides) under uncultured bacterium. Its description in RNAcentral is "bacterial SSU rRNA". It matches the Rfam family "Bacterial small subunit ribosomal RNA", at positions 521 to 896 of the family's 1533-position model. The record is from RNAcentral.